This 332-nucleotide long non-coding RNA is filed under the name Pelobates cultripes (western spadefoot toad). Lineage: Eukaryota; Metazoa; Chordata; Amphibia; Anura; Pelobatidae. The record is from RNAcentral.
CAGGAUUACAUUGUUAUGAAGAGAUCUGACGAUCCUACAAUACAGAGAAGCAGUCCCUGUCUGUUAAGAGGAUCCUGCAAGACCCAGAGCUCCAGCACGGUCUGUCCACCUCACUCACUGAUACAUGAGGGAACCAAUGAGCAGAACAUCCUGGAACUGACCAAUCAGAUCAUCCACCUGCUGACUGGAGAGGUGAGGCUGCUGGGAAUGGGACAUUAUAGAGUAAAACCAAGGAAUGUGUCUGGAUGGUGACUGGAUGUUAUUGGUGAAUGUCUGUUAUUUCUUGUAGGUUUGGAAGUAUUUAAAAGGGCAAAAGGAAACUUACAAGGAAG